UCUAUAAUUCAGUUUAUUUUCAGGUAAAGCAAGCAUUAUCAGUCUUGAUAAAAUAUGGUUUUGUGACUUUUGAAAGAGGUAAAAUACCUACAAUCGCAGAAUAUAAAUUUGUUCCUACAAAAGUCACACUUAUGUUAAGAUUUCCAAGGUAUAUACUCCAAAUCAAGAACAGAGUGGAUGAGGAAUCAAGUCUGUUGCUGGAGGAGCUCUUAAGGUUUGGUUUUGACACAGCAACAAACAUCAUCCUAAGGGUGGCCACUAGAAUUAAGGAAGAGAAGAUGUCACUGAACGGAG
Long non-coding RNA from Homalodisca vitripennis (glassy-winged sharpshooter), 294 nucleotides. RefSeq lists it as uncharacterized. The transcript has 3 exons. The record is from RefSeq and is a predicted model, not a curated record. NCBI's taxonomy places the organism in Eukaryota, Metazoa, Arthropoda, Insecta, Hemiptera, Cicadellidae.